AGAGCGGCGAACGGGUGAGUAACGCGUGGGUAAGUUGCCUUCAAGUACGGGAUAGCCCUUCGAAGGGAGGAUUAAUACCGUAUGUGGUCUCCUGAUGCAUAUCAGGAUGUCUAAAGGUGGGGAUUCUUCGGAACCUGCCGCUUGGAGAUACGCCCGCGUCCCAUCAGCUUGUUGGUAGGGUAAUGGCCUACCAAGGCAACGACGGGUAGCUGGUCUGAGAGGAUGGUCAGCCACACUGGGACUGAGACACUGCCCAGACUCCUACGGGAGGCUGCAGUCGAGAAUCAUUCACAAUGCACGAAAGUGUGAUGAUGCGACGCCGCGUGGAGGAUGAAGGCCUUAGGGUUGUAAACUCCUGUCAUGAGGGAAGAAUGUCCAGCCGGUUAAUAUCCGGCUGGAGUGACGGUACCUCAAGAGGAAGCCACGGCUAACUCUGUGCCAGCAGCCGCGGUAAUACAGAGGUGGCGAGCGUUGUUCGGAUUUACUGGGCGUAAAGGGUGCGUAGGCGGCAUUGUGUGUCGGAUGUGAAAGCUCACGGCUUAACCGUGGAAAUGCAUCCGAAACUACAGUGCUAGAGUACAGGAGAGGUAAGUGGAAUUCUUGGUGUAGCGGUGAAAUGCGUAGAUAUCAAGAGGAACACCGGUGGCGAAAGCGACUUACUGGACUGAUACUGACGCUGAGGCACGAAAGCCGGGGUAGCAAAAAGGAUUAGAUACCCUUGUAGUCCCGGCCGUAAACGUUGUGUACUUGAUGUAGGAGGAAUUAUCCCCUUCUGUGUCGGAGCUAACGCGUUACGUACACCGCCUGGGGAGUACGGUCGCAAGAUUAAAACUCAAAGGAAUUGACGGGGGCCCGCACAAGCGGUGGAGCAUGUGGCUUAAUUCGAUGCAACGCGAAGAACCUUACCAGGGCUUGACAUGCCCGUCGUACCCGAAUGAAAGUUCGGGGUCAGCUAGGCUGGACGGUGCACAGGUGCUGCAUGGCUGUCGUCAGCUCGUGCCGUGAGGUGUUGGGUUAAGUCCCGCAACGAGCGCAACCCUUGUGAUUAGUUGCCACUCCCUUCGGGGAAGCACUCUAAUCAGACUGCCCGUGAUAAGCGGGAGGAAGGUGGGGACGACGUCAAGUCAGUAUGGCCCUUAUGCCCUGGGCUGCACACGUGCUACAAUGGCCGGUACAGAAGGAAGCAAGACCGCGAGGUGGAGCUAAUCCCCAAAACCGGCCCCAGUUCGGAUCGUAGUCUGCAACUCGACUACGUGAAGUUGGAAUCGCUAGUAAAGGCGUAUCAGCUACGACGCCUUGAAUACGUUCCCGGGCCUUGUACACACCGCCCGUCACAUCAUGAAAGCCGACUGCACCCGAAACCGUUGAUCCAACCUUCGGGAGGAAAACGUCUAAGGUGUGGUUGGUGAUUGGGAUGAAGUCGUAACAAGGUA
RNAcentral lists this ribosomal RNA (1433 nucleotides) under metagenome. Its description in RNAcentral is "bacterial SSU rRNA". It matches the Rfam family "Bacterial small subunit ribosomal RNA". The record is from RNAcentral.